Molecule: ribosomal RNA, 253 nt
Filed under: uncultured Oscillospiraceae bacterium
Lineage: Bacteria; Bacillati; Bacillota; Clostridia; Eubacteriales; Oscillospiraceae
Description: partial 16S ribosomal RNA
Rfam family: Bacterial small subunit ribosomal RNA
Source: RNAcentral
UACGUAGGGGGCAAGCGUUAUCCGGAUUUACUGGGUGUAAAGGGCGUGCAGCCGGGAGUGCAAGUCAGAUGUGAAAUCCCGCGGCUCAACCGCGGAACUGCAUUUGAAACUGUGCUUCUUGAGUGCUGGAGAGGCAGGCGGAAUUCCCAGUGUAGCGGUGAAAUGCGUAGAUAUUGGGAGGAACACCAGUGGCGAAGGCGGCCUGCUGGACAUUAACUGACGCUGAGGCGCGAAAGCGUGGGGAGCAAACAGG